RNAcentral lists this ribosomal RNA (367 nucleotides) under uncultured organism. Its description in RNAcentral is "bacterial LSU rRNA". It matches the Rfam family "Bacterial large subunit ribosomal RNA", at positions 2099 to 2465 of the family's 2925-position model. The record is from RNAcentral.
CUUUACUGUAGCCUGGUAUUGGGUUCGGGCUUUGACUGCGCAGGAUAGGUGGGAGACUAUGAAGCUGCCCUUGUGGGGGCAGUAGAGUCAUCAGUGAGAUACCACUCUGUCAAGGCUAGAAUUCUAACCGUCUGCCGUUAUCCGGCGACGGAACAGUAUCAGGUGGGCAGUUUGACUGGGGCGGUCGCCUCCUAAAUGGUAACGGAGGCGCGCAAAGGUUCCCUCAGGCUGGUUGGAAAUCAGCCGCAGAGUGUAAAGGCAGAAGGGAGCUUGACUGCAAGAGCAACAACUCAAGCAGGGACGAAAGUCGGCCUUAGUGAUCCGACGGCGCUGAGUGGAAGGGCCGUCGCUCAACGGAUAAAAGUUA